This 531-nucleotide long non-coding RNA is filed under the name Rattus norvegicus (Norway rat). RNAcentral's name for it is "long non-coding RNA NONRATT004353". Lineage: Eukaryota; Metazoa; Chordata; Mammalia; Rodentia; Muridae. The record is from RNAcentral.
CAGACUGCCGUCCCACCAAGAAGCCCCCUGCUAACAACCAUUUACCCACUGCAUUCAAGGUCUCCAGUGGGCCCCAGAAGGAAGGUCGGAUGAGCCAGCGGGGCAAAGUACCCAAGCCCGGUACAGGGAGCAAGCUUUCAGAUAGGCCUCUCCACACACUCAAAAGGAAGUCAGCUUUCAUGGCACCUGUCCCUGCCAAAAAGCGGAGCCUCAUCCUGCGAAGCAACAAUGGAAGUGGGGUAGAUGGGAGGGAGGAAAGGGCUGAGAGCUCCCCUGGCCUCUUAAGGAGGAUGGCCUCACCCCAGAGGGCCAGACCCAGGGGCAGUGGGGAGCCACCCCCACCCCCACCCCUAGAGCCACCUGCUGCAUGCCUGGGGUUGGCUACACAAUCAUCCCUGCCCAGUGCUGUGAGGACCAAGGUGCUGCCACCCCGAAAGGGCCGUGGCCUCAAGCUGGAGGCCAUAGUACAGAAGAUCACCUCACCUGGUCUCAAGAAACUUGCAUGCAGAGUGGCAGGGGCCCCUCCUGGGA